Molecule: ribosomal RNA, 122 nt
Filed under: Acanthamoeba palestinensis
Lineage: Eukaryota; Discosea; Longamoebia; Acanthamoebidae
Source: RNAcentral
GGAUACGGCCAUACUGCGCAGAAAGCACCGCUUCCCAUCCGAACAGCGAAGUUAAGCUGCGCCAGGCGGUGUUAGUACUGGGGUGGGCGACCACCCGGGAAUCCACCGUGCUGUAUCCUCUU